This 1905-nucleotide ribosomal RNA is filed under the name Triticum aestivum (bread wheat). RNAcentral's name for it is "partial small subunit ribosomal RNA". The record is from RNAcentral. Lineage: Eukaryota; Viridiplantae; Streptophyta; Magnoliopsida; Poales; Poaceae.
AUGGAGUCCAAAACCCUGCCUGCUUCGCUGCAUGGAUGCUUAUACAACUGCGGAGAAGACGAUGGCCACAUCUCACUCCACUGCACCAACCCGACUAGGUGUGUGCGCUGUGGGGGUCAGAACCACAUCUCCAGGGGUUGCACCCGCCCCCGCAGCUCCUCUCCGGUGGAUCCGGCCCGCCUCCCGCCCGCGCUUCGCCCUCGCCACCAGCCGACGCCGGUCGCACCCCCCUCCCCGCCGGGCCCUCCGCCUGUGGGCGCCGUCCGGCUCGUGAGACCUUGGAGCCAGGUGGUACGCUCGGGUUCGUGCGAGAGCGUCGCCGGCCCGGGUUUCUCGGCCCCCUUCGCGCCGGCGGCCACCCCGGUCCUGGUGGAGGAUCAGGUGGACGUCUGCUUCAUGGAGACCGGGCCGGACCUCGAAGUCAUGGAGGCGGAGCUGGCCCGUGCUGUGGUGGUCACUGUGGUGGGACGGCAUGAGGACGCCGACCUGGCGACGGUGGCGGCUAUGAUUCAUGCGGAAUUCGAGGUGGAUUCUUCGGGCAUGUCCAUCAGGCAGUACUUCCCCGAGGAUUUUCUCGUGCUUUGCCGCUCGCCGGAGCUGCGCAACAGGAUGAUCCGCCGCAGCCGCGCAGGCUCCGGGAGUUUCAACUUGCUGCUCAGGCCCUGGUUGCGCCAGGCGAAUGGAACUGGCAUCGCAAUGCCAUUCUUGGUCCCGCUGGCGCUUUGUGGUGUGCCGGCAAAUGCGUGGACGAGGCGCACCGCCAAUGUGCUUCUCCAUGGGCUCGGCAUCGUCGUCAAGGUGGACGCUUCUACAGAGGCUAGAAGCGAUAUGUCGGACUUCAGGGUGUGGCUGCGCACUGACGACCCAGCGCGCAUCCCGUCUCGGCGCAUCCUCGCCGUCGAGGAGCCCGGGCGGCGGAGCAGCCGUGCGCUGCGUGGCGAAAGUGAGGUGGACGCCAUCUGGUACCCUGUCUCCAUCACCCAGGUGGCUGCGGCUGUUCGUGUGAUCCCUCCGGCAAGCGCGCCCGGCCCCCCGCCGCCGCCGCCCCCGCCACCGAUGUCGCCGCCGUUGGAACGCGAGGACGACCGGGACAAGCCGGGGUCCAGACGCGGCAGGGGAUCUGGUCACCUAGGUGGAGGUGUCAGCCCAGACGGACACCCGAGUGGAUCUCCGGCGAGCUCGUCGGCGUUGGCUCCUACGCCGGCCCGGCGGUGUGCGAUUCAAAUGGUGGGCGAGGACGGUCAGCAUGGUCACGCAGGUCCCAAUUCUAGCGUCAUGGCGGACGUGGCUCAGGACGUAAUCGAGACCAGGGUCGUGGAAUCUGCAGCUGUUGACGGGCCUAUCAGGCUUCGACAUGUCGAGUUGCAGCAGAGCAUCGGGCCCCCUGUCGAUGCAAAGCUGCGCCCGGGCCCGCCCCCCGCUCGUUUGGUGGAUGGCCCGGGACACGAGGAGGAUCAGACGCGACUUCUGGAGCCUGCGGUCGCAUCACCCAACGGUUCCCCGGCGCGAUCUCGUGGAGGUUGUGCACGGUCGCACCACGUGAUUGGCACCCCCACGCACCUCAUGACAGGAAACCGGACCGAUGUGACCAGAGAUUCCCCGACAGCUCGGAUUGGUGGGUGGGAUCUGUGCAUCGCUGCGACGGGUCCCACGGACGGGGGGGUCAGCUUUUCGCAGCGGGAUCUCCCGGAGACCGAGGAGGAUUUGGAUAGCACCGGGGAUCCGGCCAGGCCGGGGCCCACCCUACAUGGCGAUGUGACUCCCCCAUGCACGCGGGAGGGGGGCUGGUUCGUGGUUAGCCUCUCAGCGGAAAAUCAGGAAAAUUCACCCCCAGCCUUGGCCGUGCUGGACGGGGAAAUUGCUCAGUCAAGGCCGCCUCCAACUCCUCCCUCCCCGCCGACUUAA